Molecule: unclassified non-coding RNA, 233 nt
Filed under: Hevea brasiliensis (rubber tree)
Lineage: Eukaryota; Viridiplantae; Streptophyta; Magnoliopsida; Malpighiales; Euphorbiaceae
Source: RNAcentral
AUAAACUGAUCCCCCCUUGAGUCAUAAUAAGCUCUUGAUUAGCUUCAUUCAUCGCAAGAUUGGCAAUUGCACCUGCCGCAACUCUGCGAACAGUAUCAUCCUCAUAGCUUCUAAGAAGCAUCAGCAAGGAAGUAAGACCACCAGCUUCAACAAUCUUUUCCUGAUUUGCUUCUUCAGCAGCAAGGUUAGCCACCACUUUUACCGCAUGGAUUCGUGUAUUGGCAUCUUCUGAC